AUUGAACGCUGGCGGCAUGCCUUACACAUGCAAGUCGAACGGCAGCACGGGGCAACCUGGUGGCGAGUGGCGAACGGGUGAGUAAUGCAUCGGAACGUGCCAUUGAGUGGGGGAUAACGUAGCGAAAGUUGCGCUAAUACCGCAUAUUCUGUGAGCAGGAAAGCAGGGGACCGCAAGGCCUUGCGCUCUUUGAGCGGCCGAUGUCAGAUUAGCUAGUUGGUGAGGUAAAGGCUCACCAAGGCGACGAUCCGUAGCGGGUCUGAGAGGAUGAUCCGCCACACUGGGACUGAGACACGGCCCAGACUCCUACGGGAGGCAGCAGUGGGGAAUUUUGGACAAUGGGCGCAAGCCUGAUCCAGCCAUGCCGCGUGCGGGAAGAAGG
Molecule: ribosomal RNA, 382 nt
Filed under: uncultured bacterium
Lineage: Bacteria
Description: bacterial SSU rRNA
Rfam family: Bacterial small subunit ribosomal RNA
Source: RNAcentral